Oryza sativa Japonica Group (Japanese rice) is the source of this 3064-nucleotide non-coding RNA. The record is from RefSeq and is a predicted model, not a curated record. Lineage: Eukaryota; Viridiplantae; Streptophyta; Magnoliopsida; Poales; Poaceae.
AUUUCCGAGAAUUUCAGGCAAAAAUCAAAAACUUUUCUCCGAAUUUGAAAUCCCAAUUCGAAUCCACCGGAAGGGGAGAGGCGGCGCGACGCGAAUGGCGCGGCGGCGGCGGGAGAGGCGGCAGCUCGCUCGCCUCUGCGACCUCGUCGCCUGCGCACUCCUCCCCCACCUCGAACCCAAGCCGCCGGCCACGCGGCUCACACGGGAGGACGAGCGGCGGAUCCUCCUCGCGCUCUCCCGAGUAAGUAAGGCGAUUCGAGGAUGGGAAGAGGAAGAGGAGGAAGAGGAGGAGGAGGACGACGACGAAGGGUGCGAAUUGGAUCAGGAGAUUAUUUCAUGUUCCGCGGAAGUUCACAGUUGCAGUUUACCAGCUAACCAGCAUUUUGAUGAUGGAUUUAGCUGCCUGGCCAAUAUUAUCUCCAUAUUGGUUGGCUUCUUUGGUUUCUGUAGCAGUUAUGUUAAACACUCAGCUGGGAAUAUCCUGAUUGUCAUCUCUGACUCUCUAAUGAAGUUUGAGGUUGUUUGGAUUCAAUUUGUUGAGCUGGUCUGGAUAGCUAUACAUACAGUAUCAACAUGCGCUCAUAGUGCUUUACCUUCUUUAAUUGACUCCAUCAGCAGUUUCAGAAAAGACUCGAUUUGCUAUUGCUCUGUUAUGGAAAGUCUAAGUCACGACAUUAUUAUUUCAAGCACCAAUAUCACAAGCUUCGUGGAAUUACUUCAGCUACGGUGUCUUGAUAUCAAUGGGCAUAUGGUGGCCAGUCUCUUUCGAGUACUGCACACUAUUUUAAAGUUCCUUAAACACACUGAUAAUGAACUGAAAGAGGACUUCAUUUGUAUAUCUGCUCAUCAUAUUCUUAUGGUUGAUUGGGAUUUGUAUUAUCAACUCAAUGUUGGAGAACCUCUAAACCUUGUCAAGGAUAGCACAUUUAGCUUGAGUGAUGAUUUGAAACAGUUAGGAUUUCUUUCAAGCAGUCUCCUCCAACUAUUGUGCUCUUUACUUGAGCAAAGUGACCUGGAAGACAACAAUGGACAAGAUAUCUAUGCUAAGCUUGUAGGUGUAAUUCCUAAGUUAGUGGCUAUAUUACCAGAGCAUCAGGAUGCCCCCAAAAGUCUCUCUCAGUACUUAAAGCACAAAUUUCUGAUGAUAAUGAUGCGGCUAAAGCCUUACAUCCAGAAGGAUUGCUCAUAUAUUGUUUGCUGCCUGAAAUUACUUCGACAACAUUUCCAGGAUCUUCUUCAUGAACCUAUAAUGCAACAUAUUGCUAAACCAGAAAACUGUUUGGAAGGAUCCCCAUUUUUGUUGAGCACUGUAGGUCUGGGUGAGACUCAUGAUAAAUCCACUAGGCACUUACAAAGACAGGCUAUGUAUUUGUUUCUUAGCUUUUGCAUAUGUUUGGCUCACAAUGGCAAUGACAGUGCACUGCAAUGUUCAUGCAAGAGAGACGAUCAAAUGCUUGGUCACAAAGUUCUAGACUGCAGUGAUCAUUGUGACUGUUUUGCCUUAUCAGAAAUUUCAGACUGGUUUCAGAGAUGUUUCUUAGAUAAGAUUUUUGGCUUCAAAUCAUCUACAGACAAUGCUCUGUGCUUUCUGCAGUUAUAUAUGGAGGAGGAUGACAUGCUGUUCAACGUUCUCUUACAACUUCUUGAUGCUCCACUCAUUUCCUCGAAAAUAGAUAGCAUGGAGAAUAGAUGGGCUUCUGAACUGAUUGGUGGCAAACUGUUCUCGAGCAUUUUUGACCCAGUUCAUGUUUUCCAUCUCUUGCUUUUAUUGCUGCACUAUGAUCACUUGGUGCUUGUUGAUUAUCUGAUAUCUAAAGAUGUAGGUGUGCAUUGCGCACAGUAUCUGUUAAGGUGCUUACGCCUGGUAACCCAAUGUUGGCAUUCUUUCACUGAUGAUUCAAUUUAUGAGGCAAAAAUAGAGAAACUUAACUUUAAAAGGCAGAAGACCUUCAAUGAUGCAAAUAGUAGCAGUGGUAGCUCAAUUGAAGGCCCUAAGUUAGGUUCUGCAUGUCAUAAGAAAAGCAAGAACAAACACAAGCUUUUUCUAAAUGCUAAAGCAUGCCUCCUUUCAUUGAAGAGAACACUGGAAGAUCUUCAUAGGAAGGGUCUGUUCCCUUACAAUCCAAAGCCUCUCCUCAAGAGCUUGGCCAGGUUUGAGGAGCUUUGUGAGCAGGAUUGAAAUUUGAGUAGCAUGUUGUUACAUGCUACUCGUGGAAUGACCUUCUGGCUCAUCCGCCGUUUGGCAUCCUUGUCAGGGUGGCCGCUGCAAAAUGGAGGUGCAAUCAGCUUGAUUAUCUUCUCUUGAUUUACUAGUAUACCUUUAGCCCUACUUUUCUGGGCCUAAUUUCAUGUUGCUUAUGAGUUACAUGAACCAUUAGCAGUGAAAUACUCAUUCUCCUGUCUCGCCUUAAAACUGAUUGAUCAUUUUCAUACGUGAACACUAGCCUGCCCCUUGAAACGAAUGAAAUUAUCCUGUACAUGUUACUUUCUAACUGAACUCUCCUGCUACAUCAAUACAUAUAAGGCAUUUCUUGCCUAAGUUUUCAAAACAAGAAAAAGAAAAGAAAAGAAAAUGAAUGAACGAAUGAAUGUUACUUCACUAGCUAGUAGCCUAGUACGAAGUACUAUUUAUUUAACUAGCGUGCAUAUACUAGUUACUUUGAUAGAUUGCUACAAUUCGAUAGAGAAAAUGUGAAACUUCUUAAUUGAUUUGAGAGAGAAACAAUAAUUUUGUAGUGUUCUAUGUAGUGCAGCUUGGUGAGCCUAACGUAUUGGACUGGACCAGCGCUAGAGCUGCUACAUAAAUGUCAUUUCAUAUUGGCCAAGUUUUAUAGUCGUAUCUGGCUAACUAACCCGCCCGGAUUGACUUGGUCAGUCAGGUACUUCGUGCGAUAGACAAUGCACGGUCAGAGAAGGCGAGAGAGCAAAGUCAUUGCUCCAAGACUUCCAUUGCUUGCUAGUCUGAAAGCAAAGCUUGUGUCUCAUUCAGAAUGAACAGCACAUAGGCUGGCCUCUCCGUGCAUCUAUAUAAACUGGCCCUGAUCAAUCUCAUCUUCCAUCAGAG